This 221-nucleotide unclassified non-coding RNA is filed under the name uncultured Nocardioidaceae bacterium. RNAcentral's name for it is "contains 16S-23S intergenic spacer region". It matches the Rfam family "Bacterial small subunit ribosomal RNA", at positions 976 to 1200 of the family's 1533-position model. The record is from RNAcentral. Lineage: Bacteria; Bacillati; Actinomycetota; Actinomycetes; Propionibacteriales; Nocardioidaceae.
UGGGUUUGACAUGCCGGGAAAUCCUGCAGAGAUGUGGGGUCCUUUUUGGGUCCGGUACAGGUGGUGCAUGGCUGUCGUCAGCUCGUGUCGUGAGAUGUUGGGUUAAGUCCCGCAACGAGCGCAACCCUUGUCCCAUGUUGCCAGCGGGUAAUGCCGGGGACUCGUGGGAGACUGCCGGGGACAACUCGGAGGAAGGUGGGGAUGACGUUGACGUCAUAACC